RNAcentral lists this ribosomal RNA (483 nucleotides) under uncultured bacterium. Its description in RNAcentral is "bacterial SSU rRNA". It matches the Rfam family "Bacterial small subunit ribosomal RNA", at positions 31 to 507 of the family's 1533-position model. The record is from RNAcentral.
GAACGCUGGCGGCAUGCCUUACACAUGCAAGUCGAACGGCAGCACGGGAGCAAUCCUGGUGGCGAGUGGCGAACGGGUGAGUAAUAUAUCGGAACGUGCCCAGUCGUGGGGGAUAACGUAGCGAAAGUUACGCUAAUACCGCAUACGAUCUAAGGAUGAAAGCGGGGGACUCGCAAGAGCCUCGCGCGAUUGGAGCGGCCGAUAUCAGAUUAGGUAGUUGGUGGGGUAAAGGCUCACCAAGCCAACGAUCUGUAGCUGGUCUGAGAGGACGACCAGCCACACUGGAACUGAGACACGGUCCAGACUCCUACGGGAGGCAGCAGUGGGGAAUUUUGGACAAUGGACGCAAGUCUGAUCCAGCCAUUCCGCGUGCAGGAUGAAGGCCCUCGGGUUGUAAACUGCUUUUGUACGGAACGAAAAGGUUUCUAUUAAUACUAGGAGCUCAUGACGGUACCGUAAGAAUAAGCACCGGCUAACUACGUG